CUGAAGAUGGCGACCGGCGCACGGGUGAGUAACACGUAUCCAACCUGCCGAUAACUCUGGAAUAGCCUUUCGAAAGAAAGAUUAAUACCGGAUAGUAUACGAAUAUCGCAUGAUAUUUUUAUUAAAGAAUUUCGGUUAUCGAUGGGGAUGCGUUCCAUUAGUUUGUUGGCGGGGUAACGGCCCACCAAGACUACGAUGGAUAGGGGUUCUGAGAGGAAGGUCCCCCACAUUGGAACUGAGACACGGUCCAAACUCCUACGGGAGGCAGCAUG
Molecule: ribosomal RNA, 272 nt
Filed under: uncultured bacterium
Lineage: Bacteria
Description: partial 16S ribosomal RNA
Rfam family: Bacterial small subunit ribosomal RNA
Source: RNAcentral